Bos taurus (domestic cattle) is the source of this 72-nucleotide non-coding RNA. The record is from Rfam. NCBI's taxonomy places the organism in Eukaryota, Metazoa, Chordata, Mammalia, Artiodactyla, Bovidae.
UCCCUUGUGGCUCAGCUGGUAAAGAAUCUGCCUGCAAAGCAGGAGACCUGGGUUUGAUCCCUGGGUUGGGAA